CCCUUAGAUGUUCUGGGCCGCACGCGUGCUACACUGAGUGGAUCAGCGGGUCAGGUUGCGCGAAAGCGUUUCCUAAUCUUGAAAUCCGCUCGUGAUGGGGAUUGACGGUUGCAAUUUUCUGUCAUGAACGAGGAAUACCUUGUAAGCGCAAGUCAUCAUCCCGCGCUGAAUACGUCCCUGCCCUUUGUACACACCGCCCGUCGCUCCUACCGAUUGAGUGGUCCGGUGAGGCUUUGGGAUCUGAGCGGAAAGAGCGUUUCGCUCGUUCUGCCCGGAAAACUCAGUCGAACCUUAUCAUUUAGAGGAAGGAGAAGUCGUAACA
RNAcentral lists this ribosomal RNA (322 nucleotides) under uncultured eukaryote. Its description in RNAcentral is "partial 18S ribosomal RNA". It matches the Rfam family "Eukaryotic small subunit ribosomal RNA", at positions 1470 to 1796 of the family's 1831-position model. The record is from RNAcentral.